GAUGAACGCUGGCGGCGUGCCUAAUACAUGCAAGUCGAGCGAACAGACGAGGAGCUUACUCCUCUGACGUUAGCGGCGGACGGGUGAGUAACACGUGGAUAACCUACCUAUAAGACUGGGAUAACUUCGGGAAACCGGAGCUAAUACCGGAUAACAUGUUGAACCGCAUGGUUCAACAGUGAAAGACGGUCUUGCUGUCACUUAUAGAUGGAUCCGCGUCGCAUUAGCUAGUUGGUAAGGUAACGGCUUACCAAGGCAACGAUGCGUAGCCGACCUGAGAGGGUGAUCGGCCACACUGGAACUGAGACACGGUCCAGACUCCUACGGGAGGCAGCAGUAGGGAAUCUUCCGCAAUGGGCGAAAGCCUGACGGAGCAACGCCGCGUGAGUGAAGAAGGUCUUCGGAUCGUAAAACUCUGUUAUUAGGGAAGAACAAAUGUGUAAGUAACUAUGCACGUCUUGACGGUACCUAAUCAGAAAGCCACGGCUAACUACGUG
This 497-nucleotide ribosomal RNA is filed under the name uncultured bacterium. RNAcentral's name for it is "partial 16S ribosomal RNA". It matches the Rfam family "Bacterial small subunit ribosomal RNA", at positions 28 to 507 of the family's 1533-position model. The record is from RNAcentral.